UGGGGAAUUUUUCGCAAUGGGCGCAAGCCUGACGAAGCAACGCCGCGUGGGGGAUGAAGGUCUUCGGAUCGUAAACCCCUGUCGACCGGGACGAAAGCAUCCGACCUAACACGUCGGCGUGUUGACUGUACCGGUGGAGGAAGCCACGGCUAACUCUGUGCCAGCAGCCGCGGUAAUACAGAGGUGGCAAGCGUUGUUCGGAAUUACUGGGCGUAAAGGGCGCGUAGGCGGUCUUGUAAGUCCCGUGUGAAAGCCCCCGGCUCAACUGGGGAGUGGCACGGGAAACUGCGAGGCUUGAGUUCGGGAGAGGGAAGCGGAAUUCCGGGUGUAGCGGUGAAAUGCGUAGAUAUCCGGAGGAACACCGGUGGCGAAGGCGGCUUCCUGGACCGACACUGACGCUGAGGCGCGAAAGCUAGGGGAGCAAA
RNAcentral lists this ribosomal RNA (425 nucleotides) under uncultured bacterium. RNAcentral describes it as "bacterial SSU rRNA". It matches the Rfam family "Bacterial small subunit ribosomal RNA", at positions 355 to 772 of the family's 1533-position model. The record is from RNAcentral.